RNAcentral lists this ribosomal RNA (420 nucleotides) under uncultured bacterium. RNAcentral describes it as "partial 16S ribosomal RNA". It matches the Rfam family "Bacterial small subunit ribosomal RNA", at positions 360 to 772 of the family's 1533-position model. The record is from RNAcentral.
AAUAUUGGGCAAUGGGGGCAACCCUGAUCCAGCCAUGCCGCGUGUGUGAAGAAGGUCUUCGGAUUGUAAAGCACUUUAAGUUGGGAGGAAGGGCUUUAGGUUAAUACCCUGAAGUUUUGACGUUACCAACUGAAUAAGCACCGGCUAACUUCGUGCAAGCAGCAGCGGUAAUACAGAGGGUGCAAGAGUUAAUCGGAAUUACUGGGCGUAAAGCGCACGUAGGUGGUUCAGUAAGAUGGGUGUGAACUCCCCGGGCUUAACCUGGGAACUGCUUUCAUAACUGCUGAGCUAGAGUACGGUAGAGGGUAGUGGAAUUUCCUGUGUAGCGGUGAAAUGCGUAGAUAUAGGAAGGAACACCAGUGGCGAAGGCGACUACCUGGACUGAUACUGACACUGAGGUGCGAAAGCGUGGGGAGCAAA